GUUACGUCAUAUCGUAUAUCUGGAAUUGUUUUAUAGAAUAUUAAUAUAAUUAGGUAAUAUCAGGUAAACCUAAAUGGGUGUAAUGUGCGUCUCCGUGGCUCCUUUUUCUCUUUAAAUCGUUUUACAAAAAAUGAUGUUUACACGAGAGAAAACAUGAGAAUCUACUUUCGGGAAGCAGUGAAAAUGUUUCAGAAACCAUGCUGAUUGUAAUGACUUCUAAAAAUCGGCCCUGAACAUCGACGUUUAGCAACCACUUAUCUGCGUCCGCAGCAUCGAUCACGUGACCGUUUUGUUUGUAUUUCCUGCCAAUUCUCGUUGAACGAAGUACAGUGUUUGAAGUCAAUUUGACAUACGUUACUACUCUAAGAUUAAGAUUGCACUCUCUAAUGAUACAAGAGCAUAGAACUAUUAAACAAAUUUCGUUUCCUGUUCCAUCCAAUAAGCAUAAAACACACGAUCAAGAAGAAGGAUAUUCAACGUGUGAACAUCCUCACUCACCCAACACCUGC
Molecule: long non-coding RNA, 509 nt
Organism: Eufriesea mexicana
Lineage: Eukaryota; Metazoa; Arthropoda; Insecta; Hymenoptera; Apidae
Exons: 4
Source: RefSeq, a predicted model, not a curated record